GCCCACUAAAAGAGCACGAGCACGAGCACGAGCACUUCGCAUGCGUUUACCCCUUCAUUCCCUUUUUUACCCUUUUCGAAUGUUUCUCUGUUUUCUUUUCGUUUCUCUCGCCGCAAGAGAAGAGAACGAUGAAGACGAACGAACCAGAGGCGGUGGGCGAUAAACGACGACGAAUGUCUAUCGAGGGUUUCUUGAGAAACUUGUGUUAUACCUUGUUGUACCUGCAUCAAAAUCAGGUCGUUCAUCAGUAUUUUGGAUCUGCAGGGAAGGAUCUCGCUGAUUUCACCUUUGCUUUUUUCUAUCUAGGUUUCGUGAUUUCUAGCUGUUCUUCACAUGCUUUUCAAUUUGUUCUUAUAGUUGUAUUGGAGAUUUCAAUUGUUGUUCAAAUAUCAAUAAAUUUCGGAAUUUCUCCCUGCCUCAGUUCGCUCAGAAAGCAAAUUCAUGUAUGAAGAAAGUUGAGGUUACUUGCAUAAUCUUCUACUUUAUCACCUUGUUUGCCUCAUUGGGUGUUCAUGCAUGCACCUGUUUCUCGUAAUUUUGAUUUGUAGCCAUUUGGAAAUAUUCCUAUAAUUCAAGGGUGGAGAAAGAUCUCUAUGAAGUUGAAAAGAUUGCGCAUGGUGUCAAAGCAAAAAUAGAAGCUUUAAACAGAGCUGUACUGAGAUACUGGAAAAUGCCUUGACUAAAAAAUUCAAGGAUCUCAAUGAUUGAGUUUCAGUAUUACAUUUCCCCCUCAAAUGGACUAAAGUUCAAUUCCAAGUCAUACAAAGUAACUGAGGUAAUUGGUUGAUUUUGAAAAUCAAAUUAUGGAAGAUUUCAUUGGGAUCAAGCAUUAAAGAAUUUGUUUAUGAAUAAACUUCUGUACUAUGGCUAUGUGCUUAGAUCACUUGUCGUACCUAAAAUGAUAGUAUAUAUUAGAUUUGGAUAUUAGUAGGCUUUAUGCUUUUAGAAACUCAUAAACUUGUAUCAGUUAGAAGUACUUGAUAUUUUAGUAUGAAUUUAGUGAAAUAUGUUUUUUCAAUGGAACUAUGAUGGUUAAGUUGUAAAAUAUUUCAAUUAAUUUUA
Molecule: long non-coding RNA, 1062 nt
Organism: Lotus japonicus
Lineage: Eukaryota; Viridiplantae; Streptophyta; Magnoliopsida; Fabales; Fabaceae
Exons: 5
Source: RefSeq, a predicted model, not a curated record